AUAUUGCACAAUGGACGAAAGUCUGAUGCAGCGACGCCGCGUGCGGGAUGAAGGCCUUCGGGUCGUAAACCGCUGUGGAGGGGGAAGAAUUUUUGACGGUACCCCUCUAGAAAGCACCUGCUAACCACGUGCCAGAAGCCUCGGUAAUACGUGGGGUGCAAGCGUUAUCCGGAUUCACUGGGCGUAAAGAGUAUCGUAGGCGGCUGGAUAAGUGACGGGUUAAAUACCAAGGCUUAACUUUGGACCUGCUCGUCAAACUAUUUAGCUAGAGUCAGUUCGGGGAUAUUGGAAUUCUUAGUGGAGGGGUGAAAUCCGUUGAUAUUAAGAAGAACACCAUGGGCGAAGGCAGAUAUCUAGGACUUGACUGACGCUGAUGAACGAAAGCUAGGGGAGCGAAC
RNAcentral lists this ribosomal RNA (398 nucleotides) under uncultured bacterium. RNAcentral's name for it is "bacterial SSU rRNA". It matches the Rfam family "Bacterial small subunit ribosomal RNA", at positions 361 to 773 of the family's 1533-position model. The record is from RNAcentral.